Molecule: transfer RNA, 73 nt
Filed under: Ovis aries (sheep)
Lineage: Eukaryota; Metazoa; Chordata; Mammalia; Artiodactyla; Bovidae
Rfam family: tRNA
About the family: Transfer RNA (tRNA) molecules are approximately 80 nucleotides in length. Their secondary structure includes four short double-helical elements and three loops (D, anti-codon, and T loops).
Source: Rfam by way of RNAcentral
UCCCUGGUGGUCCAGCGGUUCAGACUCUGCAUUUCUAAUGCAGGGGGCAUGAGUUCGAUCCCUACUCAGGGAA